GACUGGGUGACACAGCGAAAGCGUUAAGCAUUCCACCUGGGGAGUACGCCGGCAACGGUGAAACUCAAAGGAAUUGACGGGGGCCCGCACAAGCGGAGGAACAUGUGGUUUAAUUCGAUGAUACGCGAGGAACCUUACCCGGGCUCAAACGUCGGAGGACGUGCGGAGAAAUCCGCAUUUCCCUCGGGACUUCCGACGAGGUGCUGCAUGGUUGUCGUCAGCUCGUGCCGUGAGGUGUCGGCUUAAGUGCCAUAACGAGCGCAACCCCCAUCUACAGUUGCUAACAGGUGAAGCUGAGGACUCUGUGGAGACUGCCGGCGCAAGCUGAGAGGAAGGCGGGGAUGACGUCAAAUCAGCACGGCCCUUACGUCCGGGGCGACACACGUGUUACAAUGGCAGGUACAGCGGGAAGCCACUUGGCGACAAGGAGCGGAACCCGAAAACCUGUCUCAGUUCGGAUUGGAGUCUGCAACCCGACUCCAUGAAGCUGGAUUCGCUAGUAAUCGCGCAUCAGCCACGGCGCGGUGAAUACGUUCCCGGGCCUUGUACACACCGCCCGUCAAGCCAUGGAAGCCGGGAGUGCCUGAAGUGCGUGAGCGCAAGCAGCGCCCUAGGGUAAAACCGGUGACUGGGGCUAAGUCGUAACAAGGUAGCCGU
This 657-nucleotide ribosomal RNA is filed under the name uncultured bacterium. Its description in RNAcentral is "bacterial SSU rRNA". It matches the Rfam family "Bacterial small subunit ribosomal RNA", at positions 837 to 1503 of the family's 1533-position model. The record is from RNAcentral.